GUGGGGAAUCUUAGACAAUGGGGGAAACCCUGAUCUAGCCAUGCCGCGUGAGCGAUGAAGGCCUUAGGGUUGUAAAGCUCUUUCAGCUGGGAAGAUAAUGACGGUACCAGCAGAAGAAGCCCCGGCUAACUCCGUGCCAGCAGCCGCGGUAAUACGGAGGGGGCUAGCGUUGUUCGGAAUUACUGGGCGUAACGCGCGCGUAGGCGGACCAGAAAGUUGGAGGUGAAAUCCCAGGGCUCAACCUUGGAACUGCCUUCAAAACUCCUGGUCUGGAGUUCGAGAGAGGUGAGUGGAAUUCCGAGUGUAGAGGUGAAAUUCGUAGAUAUUCGGAGGAACACCAGUGGCGAAGGCGGCUCACUGGCUCGAUACUGACGCUGAGGUGCGAAAGCGUGGGGAGCAAACAGGAUUAGAUACCCCUGUAGUCC
RNAcentral lists this ribosomal RNA (425 nucleotides) under uncultured bacterium. Its description in RNAcentral is "partial 16S ribosomal RNA". It matches the Rfam family "Bacterial small subunit ribosomal RNA", at positions 354 to 796 of the family's 1533-position model. The record is from RNAcentral.